UGGGGAAUUGUUCGCAAUGGGCGCAAGCCUGACGACGCAACGCCGCGUGGAGGAUGAAGAUCUUCGGGUCGUAAACUCCUGUCGAGCGGGAAGAACAGCUUUGGGGUAAAUAUCCCUAGAGCCUGACGGUACCGCUAAAGGAAGCCCCGGCUAACUCCGUGCCAGCAGCCGCGGUAAAACGGGGGGGGCAAGCGUUGUUCGGAAUUACUGGGCGUAAAGGGCUCGUAGGCGGCCAACUAAGUCAGACGUGAAAUCCCCAGGCUUAACCUGGGAACUGCGUCUGAUACUGGUUGGCUUGAAUCCGGGAGAGGGAUGCAGAGUUCCAGGUGUAGCGGUGAAAUGCGUAGAUAUCUGGAGGAACACCGGUGGCGAAGGCGGCAUUCUGGACCAACACUGACGCUGAGGAGCGAAAGCCAGGGGAGCAAA
This 426-nucleotide ribosomal RNA is filed under the name uncultured bacterium. RNAcentral describes it as "bacterial SSU rRNA". It matches the Rfam family "Bacterial small subunit ribosomal RNA", at positions 355 to 772 of the family's 1533-position model. The record is from RNAcentral.